Molecule: ribosomal RNA, 253 nt
Filed under: uncultured bacterium
Lineage: Bacteria
Description: partial 16S ribosomal RNA
Rfam family: Bacterial small subunit ribosomal RNA
Source: RNAcentral
UACGGAGGGUGCGAGCGUUGUCCGGAAUCACUGGGCGUAAAGGGCGCGUAGGUGGUCCCUUAAGCGUGUGGUGAAAGCUCGGGGCUCAACCUCGAGUCGGCCAUGCGAACUGGGGGACUGGAGCACUGUAGAGGCAGGUGGAAUUCCGGGUGUAGCGGUGGAAUGCGCAGAUAUCAGGAAGAACACCCGUGGCUAAGGCGGUUCUCUAGUACGGUACUGACGCUGAGACGCGAAAGCGUGGGGAGCGAACAGG